RNAcentral lists this ribosomal RNA (850 nucleotides) under Phellinotus piptadeniae. Its description in RNAcentral is "LSU rRNA". It matches the Rfam family "Eukaryotic large subunit ribosomal RNA", at positions 132 to 960 of the family's 3401-position model. The record is from RNAcentral. Lineage: Eukaryota; Fungi; Basidiomycota; Agaricomycetes; Hymenochaetales; Hymenochaetaceae.
GGCCGUCCGAGUUGUAACCUGGAGGAGCGCUUUGAGCGGAAGCCCGUGUACAAGUCUCCUGGAACGGAGCGUCAUAGAGGGUGAGAAUCCCGUCCAUGACACGGACGCCCGGAAAAAGGUUAGAUGCGCCCCCGAAUUUGUCGCGUUGUUUGGGAAUGCAGCGCAAAAUGGGUGGUAAAUUCCAUCUAAAGCUAAAUAUUGGCGAGAGACCGAUAGCGAACAAGUACCGUGAGGGAAAGAUGAAAAAGCACUUUGGAAAGAGAGUUAAACAGUACGUGAAAUUGUUGAAAGGGAAACGCUUGAAGUCAGUCGCGUCGCACGGAACUCAGCCUGGCCUCGGCCUGGUGUACUUUCCGUGCGACGGGUCAACAUCAAUUUCGGGCGGCGGAUAAGGUCGAGGGGAAUGUAGCGUCGCUUCGGCGGCGUGUUAUAGCCCCUUGUCGUAUACGCCGUGCGGGAUUGAGGACCGCAGCGCGCCCUUGUGGCCGGGGUUCGCCCACGUCACGCGCUUAGGAUGUUGGCAUAAUGGCUUUAAGCGACCCGUCUUGAAACACGGACCAAGGAGUCUAACAUGCUUGCGAGUGUUCGGGUGGAAAACCCUUGCGCGGAAUGAAAGUGAAAGUUGGGAGCCUCCGCGAGGGGGUGCACCGACGCCCGGCCCUGAAGUUCUCUGACGGUGCUGCGGUAGAGCAGGUGUGUUGGGACCCGAAAGAUGGUGAACUAUGCCUGAAUAGGGCGAAGCCAGAGGAAACUCUGGUGGAGGCUCGUAGCGAUUCUGACGUGCAAAUCGAUCGUCAAAUUUGGGUAUAGGGGCGAAAGACUAAUCGAACCAUCUAGUAGCUGGUUCCUG